Molecule: unclassified non-coding RNA, 285 nt
Filed under: plant metagenome
Description: partial contains small subunit ribosomal RNA, internal transcribed spacer 1, and 5.8S ribosomal RNA
Rfam family: Eukaryotic small subunit ribosomal RNA (bases 1-54)
Source: RNAcentral
GGAAGUAAAAGUCCUAACAAGGUUUCCGUAGGUGAACCUGCGGAAGGAUCAUUAUUGUAUAACCGAGGUGCGAGGGCUGUCGCUGACCCGAAAGGUCGUGCACGCCCGAGUGCCCUCACACACAUCCAUCUCACCCCUAUGUGCACCACCGCGUGGGUCCCCCUUUGGCUUGUUCGGAGGGGGGCUUACGUUUUCACACAAACUUUGUAUGCAGUGUAGAAUGUAUUUUUUGUUUUUGCGAUCACGCAAUCAAUACAACUUUCAACAACGGAUCUCUUGGCUCUC